Molecule: ribosomal RNA, 452 nt
Filed under: uncultured bacterium
Lineage: Bacteria
Description: bacterial SSU rRNA
Rfam family: Bacterial small subunit ribosomal RNA
Source: RNAcentral
GGCCGCGGGAAUUCGAUUCAGGCCUAACACAUGCAAGUCGAACGGUAACGCGGGGCAACCUGGCGACGAGUGGCGAACGGGUGAGUAAUGCAUCGGAACGUGCCCAGUAGUGGGGGAUAGCCCGGCGAAAGCCGGAUUAAUACCGCAUACGACCUACGGGUGAAAGGGGGGGGAUCGCAAGACCUCUCGCUAUUGGAGCGGCCGAUGUCAGAUUAGGUUGUUGGUGGGGUAAAGGCCUACCAAGCCGACGAUCUGUAGCUGGUCUGAGAGGACGACCAGCCACACUGGGACUGAGACACGGCCCAGACUCCUACGGGAGGCAGCAGUGGGGAAUUUUGGACAAUGGGCGCAAGCCUGAUCCAGCCAUGCCGCGUGCGGGAAGAAGGCCUUCGGGUUGUAAACCGAUUUUGUCAGGGAAGAAAUCUUCCGGGCUAAUACCUCGGGAGGAUGAC